AACGAACGCUGGCGGCGUGCCUAAUACAUGCAAGUCGAGCGAGAAAGCCUCUUCGGAGGUGAGUAAAGCGGCGCACGGGUGAGUAACACGUGGGCAACCUACCCUUGAGUCUGGGGAUAACCCGGGGAAACUCGGGACUAAUACCAGAUACGGCUGCGGGGUCUUCGGAUCCGUGUGGAGAAAGAUGGCCUCUUCUUGAAAGCUAUCUCUCGAGGAUGGGCCCGCGUCCUAUUAGCCUAGNGGUGAGGUAACGGCUCACCAAGGCAAAGAUGGUAGCUGGUCUGAGAGGAUGGCCAGCCACACUGGAACUGAGAC
RNAcentral lists this ribosomal RNA (315 nucleotides) under uncultured bacterium. RNAcentral's name for it is "bacterial SSU rRNA". It matches the Rfam family "Bacterial small subunit ribosomal RNA", at positions 29 to 325 of the family's 1533-position model. The record is from RNAcentral.